This 396-nucleotide long non-coding RNA is filed under the name Hordeum vulgare. Its description in RNAcentral is "long non-coding RNA (HVUL_LNC014068)". The record is from RNAcentral. Lineage: Eukaryota; Viridiplantae; Streptophyta; Magnoliopsida; Poales; Poaceae.
CAGUACAUAACAGAAACUAAACAAGCAUCGAUGUGUCAAAGCUAGAGAAAGAACAACACCAGAGAGGUAAUAAACAGGAUGACUAUCAAUUGCCAAUUGACGAGCAUAAAAACACUAACCAUCAGCUCAUGUAAACUGAGCUGAGCAAAGGAAGGAGAAGUAUAAUGUAAGAAUGUGGCUUGAUAUUAAUUUUCAUACAUGAAAGACAACAGGUAAUGUGAGUCACUCAACAGUUAAUAAAACGAAACAUUCGUCAAUUAAUACUACCUAUUCAUAAAACAGAGAUCAUAAAUUUCAAGCCCAAUUGCCAGUACACAAUUAUAGAUCGACUUUAAGAUUAUUAACCUAAACUAUUUAUUGGCUGGUCUCACCAAGUCACACACAGUAGCAUACUCA